ACGUGCUUCUUUACAGAACCACAUGCCGUGCUCGUAGUGUGGAAUGUAAAGAAGUAUGUGU
Molecule: microRNA precursor, 61 nt
Filed under: Eptatretus burgeri (inshore hagfish)
Lineage: Eukaryota; Metazoa; Chordata; Myxini; Myxiniformes; Myxinidae
Description: Ebu-Mir-1-P6a_pre stem-loop
Rfam family: mir-1 microRNA precursor family
About the family: This family represents the microRNA (miRNA) mir-1 family. miRNAs are transcribed as ~70nt precursors (modelled here) and subsequently processed by the Dicer enzyme to give a ~22nt product. In this case the mature sequence comes from the 3' arm of the precursor. The extents of the hairpin precursors are not generally known and are estimated based on hairpin prediction.
Source: RNAcentral